UACGGAGGAUGCGAGCGUUAUCCGGAUUUAUUGGGUUUAAAGGGUGCGUAGGCGGUCCGUUAAGUCAGCGGUAAAAUUGCGGGGCUCAACCCCGUCGAGCCGUUGAAACUGUCAGACUUGAGUUGGCGAGAAGUACGCGGAAUGCGCGGUGUAGCGGUGAAAUGCAUGGAUAUCGCGCAGAACUCCGAUUGCGAAGGCAGCGUACCGGCGCCACACUGACGCUGAGGCACGAAAGCGUGGGGAUCGAACAGG
Molecule: ribosomal RNA, 252 nt
Filed under: uncultured bacterium
Lineage: Bacteria
Description: partial 16S ribosomal RNA
Rfam family: Bacterial small subunit ribosomal RNA
Source: RNAcentral